Molecule: RNA transcript, 3662 nt
Organism: Metopolophium dirhodum (rose-grain aphid)
Lineage: Eukaryota; Metazoa; Arthropoda; Insecta; Hemiptera; Aphididae
Gene: vn
Gene name: protein vein
Exons: 8
Source: RefSeq, a predicted model, not a curated record
UCUCGCAGUGUGCUAUUCGUAAUCGGGGCGUAAGAGUGCACCGGUGCUCGGACGACUUACCCCACGUGCGCGCGUAUAUCAUGCGAUGUGCCCCGCCGCCAGUCGUCACAUUACCGUUAACGCGUGCGAGUCGAGUGUGAAACCGAUUGGUGUUUAGAAAAAUAUUCCGUUCCGUUAGUAUUUUGUUUGUUGAAAGAUAUACAAUUUUUUUCGCAAAUAAAAUAAAAUAUUAAGCUAUUGCGUUUUUAGAUAAUUUUUUAAAAAAAUUUUUCCCGUUCGUGUUUUCAAUGAAAUAUCACUGAUCGGUCCCGACGAUUGUUAAAUAUUUCUCGUCGUUUGCACUUCGCGGUGAAAAAGAGUCAUCUAUAUAAAAUAAUACAUCAUCAAUCUGGACCGUGUGCGAUCACGAUGGACACUACCUAACAGAACAUUUCGUCCGCAACAGCAUAACAACAACAACGACAACAAUAAUAAUAAAUCUACCUAUCAUAAUAUUAUGUGCCGUGUGACACUCGCGUGGUUUUCGUGUUGAAUACGCGUUACGUUUUUUUCGUUCUUGUUAUUUUCUAAACCGUCGAUAUCGCUAAAUACAGUGCCGACGACCACUUCGCGCCACCUCAAAAAUACCCAAAAUACCACCUACCCCUUACAUCUACACUGCUGCAAUGACGGACCCGUAUGACGACCGACGCAAUCCGUACAAAGAAGUGGGUCGGUGGUGGUGAUACGCGCGACAUGUCGAAUGGUGGUGACGGCGCAGCAGGUGCAGUUUGCGCGUGUGGCCGUCGCCGUCGCCGUCGUCGGACGGCGUCGUCCUCGUCUCCGUCGCCGUCCGUGCUGGCCGUGUGGACGACGGCGUUCGUGCUGGCCGUGAUCGUAGGCGGCGGCGGGGUCGAAGCGCUACACUCGGCCGCGGCCGUCUCGACGGCUGGCGGCGGCAGUGCGGCUGCGGCAGCUGCGGCGAUGGCGGCGGGCCGGAUGGCGCCGUGCGCCCACCUGGGCGACGAGACCAACGACGUGUCGGCUCGGGCGUACGCGUCCGACGUGGUGUUCGAGGGCAAGGUCCGGUCCAAGGGCCCGGUACGGCCCGGGGAUGGUACGUACGGCGUCACGUUCGUGGUACAGCGCGUGCACAAAGACGCCAUGCAGGCGGUCACGUACGAGGGACUGCGGGUCGGCAGCCCGGUGCGACUCAACUUUCGCGAGAAGCGCGGUGACCGGGACCCACCUCAGCGGAGGCCGCCGCUCCAGCGCCGGGUGGACGCACAGUGCGUGCAGCGGUUCGCGCCGGCCGCCGGCGGUCAGACCGUCGAGGCCAACAUCAAACGCGGCGCCAAGUACCUGGUGUUCGUGGCCGGCGUCGGGCCGCACAAUCUGUCCGUGCUCGGCGAACCCGUGUUGCGAACGCCCAAGAACGUGGACGCCGUGCAAAAGGUUCUGUGCAGGGACUGUGUUCAGCCAAUCGGCGUGUGGGGACUUCACAAUACAACGUUAAAAGUCAAAAGCGCUUUGAAGUUGAUGUGCAGAGCCAAGGGCAACCCGAUGCCCGCUCUACAGUGGUUCAAAGACGGCCAACCGAUUUUGGUGGGCAGGCGAAGGAUUCAAUAUAAAAAGAAAAGAUCCAUGCUUGUGAUACCAAAGGUGAGGCCAGAAGACGGAGGCAAGUAUGAGUGCAGAGGUACCGGAGUCCAAACCGGCCAUGUGGCUAUUACGUCGGCCCAAGUAAUAGUUAAUUCCAAACCGGACAACACGACAGCCCUGUGGCCGUUGGUCGGCGGUCCCUGUCCAGCAGAUCUCGUAUAUUGUCUGAACGGGGGCACUUGUACGUUCUACGAAACCAUCGGAGAGCUCGUUUGCCAGUGCGCCGAAGGCUUCAAGGGUCAACGGUGUGAGAACAAAGACAUUGUUAACAAAAGCACCAACGAUCAACCGCUGCAUUAUGUUUUAUUUUCGCUUUUUACCCCUCUUUCGGAAGUGGCGGGUGAAUGAUGUGUAAAAAAACUAUUUAUCCCAACAAUUGUUACGUACAUUGUACACAUGAACUGGACGAGUCAUUUGAAUCGCUCCCAAACACACGAAAGUUUGAUCGUAUACAGUACACGGUGGGGGUGUGGAUUUUUGUUUGCAGAUUCAAAACAAAAUAAGAAACAAAACACCAUUGGAAAUGACACAAAUAAUUUCGGCUAGUGACGCGUUGACACAAUAAUAUGCUGUUAUAUCGAUGUAACUGAACAUUGGACAGCGGCACUAACCCGAGCACAUUCUACAACAAACACGGCUAGAUGAAUACAAUAUAUAAUUCUUUAAACUUUUUUUUCUCGACAAUUUUUUUUAUACAUUCAUACAUAAUAAAAUGUUUUAUACGAAACGAAGCUUUACGUUAGAUACCCGUGUGUAUAUUAUUACUAUACAUAAAUAUAGUAUAUAAUAAUAUAACAAUGUGCAACUUAACUUUAUUGCUACCCCUAUUUUUCAUCGCUAUGAUAUAACACUAAACAAAAAUAUAAUAUAACUGCAUAUUAGUUCUCAUACUUAGUUAUAUAGCUAAUUUAUGCAAUUAUACGAUAGAGUAAAUACAUUUUUAACUUUAUAAUAAUAUAAGGGCUAUUUAAACUUGUUAACUUUUAAAUUCUAAGUUAUUUUAUUUGUUUUGUUUACAUAUUAUAUAUAUAUAUAUAAAUAUCGCACCGAUUUAGUGAAAAGUAUCCAUAUCGUGAAUAAAACUUUUUUCACGCAUCAUGGAUGGUUAUUCUUGUUACAUCCGUGAUACGGAUUUUAAUUUUGUACACUUAAUUUGUGAUUUAAUUUAAAAUAAAAAAAAUUAGUGUAUAAUAGUCAAUUGUAUCAUAUUAUUAUGUGUUACAACAAUUUGAUUAAAUAAAAUGUGUAUGAACAAUUUAAUUUACUACCUAAAAUAAUCGUGUGUUAUUAAUAAAUAAUAUAGGUACAGUUCCAACUUCUAGUAGGUAUAUACUCUAAUAGGACGUCCAUAUCAUGAAAAUAUGUUUCACGAUUUUGAAAAAAAAAACUAUACAUUUCGUGAAAACUUACAGUCUACUAUUGUACAAAAAUAAAAGUUAUUUCAUAACGUGUAUACACAAUAUUAUUGAUCAUCCGUGUAGUGUAGAAAACGUAUAAUUCACGGUAUAUAGGUAAGAAAAAUAAGUCCCACUUCACUAAAAAAAAAAGAUUUUACAAACUAGGUGCGACGUUUAUAUGUAUUAUAUUAAUUGUAUAUAUUAUUAUAUUUAUGUGAUUGAUUUUCAUUAAGGCUAAAGGUUGUGAUGUUUGUUAUGUUCCAUAUGUAUUACUUUUAUUUUAUAUAAGUAACACUUAAUCGUGUGUAUAUUUUUUUUAUGUUUUAUUUAUUUAUUUAUUAUUUAUUUUUUGUUUAACCAAAAAUAAUGACCGUCCAUUUACUUAAUGUUAUAACUACUAUUUAUUCUAUAAAAUUAGAUAUGCUUAUAACGAUAUUACCAAAAAUAUUAUGCGUUUCAAUGGGUUAAAAAAAUUAUAUAUAUAUUAUAAGUAAUAUAUACAUAAUUUUGGUUCCUUGUAGCAAUAAUAAGAUAAAAUAAUUGUAGUUGUUAAUUUUUAUCCAAUAAUUUAUGUAUAAAACACAAAAAAAAAUAUUAUGGUAAAAUUGCUUUGAAAGAUAACUA